ACUGCGUUUUGAGUCUCGAGACCCCUGUCGGAGAGACUAUGGCGCUCAACAAGAAUCACUCGGAGGGCGGCGGAGUGAUCGUCAAUAACACCGAGAGGUGAAAACACUGCGGAAGGAUUCUGGAGGACCAAAGUUCGGGUGUCGAGGAAGUGGGCGCAUCCUAAUGUCCUAUGAUCAUGUGGAACUCACAUUCAAUGACAUGAAGAACGUGCCAGAAGCCUUCAAAGGGACCAAGAAAGGCACCGUCUACCUUACCCCUUACCGGGUCAUCUUUCUGUCCAAGGGCAAGGAUGCCAUGCAGUCCUUCAUGAUGCCAUUUUAUCUCAUGAAAGACUGUGAGAUCAAGCAGCCCGUAUUUGGUGCAAACUACAUCAAGGGAACAGUGAAGGCGGAAGCGGGAGGUGGCUGGGAAGGUUCUGCUUCCUACAAGUUGACUUUCACGGCAGGGGGCGCCAUUGAGUUCGGACAGCGGAUGCUCCAGGUGGCAUCUCAAGGUAUCCAAGCUCCGAAGAUUAGGGGCUAAGGACAUACUGAACAUGUAGGGGUUUGGUUUGAGU
Molecule: small RNA, 557 nt
Filed under: Pongo abelii (Sumatran orangutan)
Lineage: Eukaryota; Metazoa; Chordata; Mammalia; Primates; Hominidae
Description: retained intron
Source: RNAcentral